Molecule: ribosomal RNA, 524 nt
Filed under: uncultured Lactobacillus sp.
Lineage: Bacteria; Bacillati; Bacillota; Bacilli; Lactobacillales; Lactobacillaceae
Description: bacterial SSU rRNA
Rfam family: Bacterial small subunit ribosomal RNA
Source: RNAcentral
GCCUAAUACAUGCAAGUCGAGCGAGCGGAACUAACAGAUUUACUUCGGUAAUGACGUUAGGAAAGCGAGCGGCGGAUGGGUGAGUAACACGUGGGGAAUCUGCCCCAUAGUCUGGGAUACCACUUGGAAACAGGUGCUAAUACCGGAUAAGAAAGCAGAUCGCAUGAUCAGCUUUUAAAAGGCGGCGUAAGCUGUCGCUAUGGGAUGGCCCCGCGGUGCAUUAGCUAGUUGGUAAGGUAAAGGCUUACAAGGGCGAUGAUGCAUAGCCGAGUUGAGAGACUGAUCGGGCCACAUUGGGGACUGGAGACACGGGGCCCAAACUCCUACGGGGGGAGGGGCAGCAGGUAGGGGAAUCUUCCACAAUGGACGCAAGUCUGAUGGAGCAACGCCGCGUGAGUGAAGAAGGUUUUUCGGAUCGUAAAGCUCUGCUGUUGGUGAAGAAGGAUAGAGGUAGUAACUGGCCUUUAUUUGACGGUAAUCAACCAGAAAGUCACGGCUAACUACGUGCCAGCAGCCGCGGUAAU